Long non-coding RNA from Etheostoma cragini (Arkansas darter), 235 nucleotides. RefSeq lists it as uncharacterized. NCBI's taxonomy places the organism in Eukaryota, Metazoa, Chordata, Actinopteri, Perciformes, Percidae. The record is from RefSeq and is a predicted model, not a curated record. The transcript has 2 exons.
GACAAUGUGCUUUAUUCAGGCCUAUUCCUCAGCCACUUCAGAUUGGCAGGUGAUGUUUCAGAGGGAGCAGCCAGGGUUGUUUCCCAUUAGCCUCAACACGGCUAAGAUGCAUGGAUACACAUUUGACUUGACAGAUGGAAGGCUUGUAUUUCGUACUCCGUAUGGACAACCUGACUCAUACAGCACUAAGGUGAAUGGUGUUCCAGUAGAGGUGGUCCAUGCAACCCUAUUGUCC